Molecule: ribosomal RNA, 503 nt
Filed under: uncultured bacterium
Lineage: Bacteria
Description: bacterial SSU rRNA
Rfam family: Bacterial small subunit ribosomal RNA
Source: RNAcentral
UGAACGCUGGCGGCGUGCCUAACACAUGCAAGUCGAACGAAGCACUUUCCCGAGGAAGAGGCGUGCUUGCACAAAUCGGACUCAAUUAAAGUGACUUAGUGGCGGACGGGUGAGUAACGCGUGGGUAACCUGCCUUAUACAGGGGGAUAACAGUUAGAAAUGACUGCUAAUACCGCAUAAGCGCACGGUAUCGCAUGAUACAGUGUGAAAAGCGUAACGGUAUAAGAUGGACCCGCGUCUGAUUAGCCAGUUGGUGAGGUAACGGCUCACCAAAGCGACGAUCAGUAGCCGGCCUGAGAGGGUGAACGGCCACAUUGGGACUGAGACACGGCCCAAACUCCUACGGGAGGCAGCAGUGGGGGAUAUUGCACAAUGGGGGAAACCCUGAUGCAGCCGACGCCGCGUGAGUGAUGAAGUAUUUCGGUAUGUAAAGCUCUAUCAGCAGGGAAGAAAAUGACGGUACCUGACUAAGAAGCCCCGGCUAACUACGUGCCAGCAGCUGC